This 284-nucleotide long non-coding RNA is filed under the name Lathyrus oleraceus (garden pea). RNAcentral's name for it is "Pisum sativum (pea) long non-coding RNA (PSAT_LNC016831)". The record is from RNAcentral. Lineage: Eukaryota; Viridiplantae; Streptophyta; Magnoliopsida; Fabales; Fabaceae.
GAAGAACGAACCAUACCAUUGACACUUGUUUCAUCAAGCAUGGUUAUCCACCAGGCUUUAAGCAUAGAAGCAAGGGGAAUGUUUCUGGUCCUCAGCAAUCUGCAACCAUCAACAAUGCCUCCGACAACUCUGCAAGUUCGACAUCAGAUUCAGCAUCAGGUGUUUCUGCUAAUGCUUCAUAUGGAUUAACUCAAGAGCAAUACAACAAUAUUCUUGCACUGCUUCAACAUUCAAAAAUCCCCUCAACAACCAACUCCGUCUCCACAUCUCCCCUUGUGCUAAAC